This 1688-nucleotide long non-coding RNA is filed under the name Eucalyptus grandis. RNAcentral's name for it is "long non-coding RNA (EGRA_LNC002701)". The record is from RNAcentral. Lineage: Eukaryota; Viridiplantae; Streptophyta; Magnoliopsida; Myrtales; Myrtaceae.
AGUGGGAUCGAUGAUGGCCUUGAGCUUUCCAUUCUCUAAAUAAGGCCUAAUCAUUUCCAGGUUUUCUCCAGAAACAGUCAAGCUUGAAUAGACUGCCCUUGGGUGUGACGGAGGCCAGGUUAUGUCAAUAAUUGGAGCUUCAUCCUUGGCAACUACAAAGGAGUUCUUGCAGUCCCCUGAAGAAGUCAAGAGAAAACGUUGAAAUAGCAUCUAGAAGCAACAGUGUCAUUUUAGUAACUGAUCUUCCAGUGGUCAAAGUAAUCUCUAGAACCCACACAACCUCUUUCUUAUCCAUUCAAAAAACUACAUGGGAUUUCCAUUUGGCCCACCGUCAUUGGAGACAUAAGUUGAUUGCACAGACAUAAGACAUGAGUUGUCUAAGGUUCUUGGAAUUUUCAAGUCUCCUCAACUAACGGUGCUCAUACAAAAGAAGUACUCCACCACCAGUGAACGUGAUAAAUUUCAGAUGACAUGAAAUAUUCAAAAACUGGAACUGUCAUUUAGUAUGAAGAGAUUGCCUGAGCAGUAUGAAGUACUAAGGUAGAACUAGCAAAUGAGAAUUGGUUGUUCACGGAACUCACCGAUGGUAUCAUAAAGAAAGUCAAAUUUCUCCUUGAUUUCUUCAUAUUUGGUAUUUGUGUAGUCGAUAACUUUGUCGGCACCCAGUUUCUUGACAAACUCCACCUUUGCCGAGCUACAUGUUGCCACAACAUAGGAAGCAUUGUAAAAGUUCUUGGCCAGCUGAACAGCUAAAGUCCCAACACCACCUGCACCUCCAACGAUGAAAACUGUCUGUCCCUCUUUGAAAUCUGCUGUUACAAACCCUUCCAUUGCAGUCUGAACAGCUAAUGGCAAACUUGCGGCUUCCUCAAAUGACAGGUUCUGGGGUUUCAUUGCUACCAAGGUCUCCUCGACCGCAAUAAAUUCUGCCAGUGUCCCAAGUUGCUUCAGCUUUCCAGGAGCAUUGAAGUCCUGAAUAUUCCCAUAAACUGCAUCACCUAAAUCAAACUUGGUGACACCAGUGCCUUUCGCCACCACCACACCCGCCAUGUCACAGCCUGGAACCACCUGCAUCCCAUAUCAAGCAAUGAAUCUAGAUUCACAACACUGCUUGUUCUAGGGUACUGAUCUGUUCAGGACUUUUGUCGAGUAUGAAUAUUCAUCACUAGUUUUACUAGAAAAAUCAACCUAAAGGCGAACUCGUUAACAAGCGCUGCCUGAUUUACAAUAACUAAUAUAGAAGUGUCCAAACAAUAUGCUGUUUUCAUUCCACAAGCAAAUUUCCGACUCUCUGGUAAACUAAUAAAUUCAAAAUUAGUCACAAUCAACCUACAUGCACAUAAAACUAGCCAGCUUAACAGGAAUGCCGCCAACAAAGUACUAGAGCAAAGUGUGGCCAGAGCCAGCAAGAAAGGAAAACAAUAGCGCAUCAGUAAGUAUGAGAGAGAACCACAUAAAAAUAAUCUCUCUUUGCUUUACUCCCUUUCUCUCUCACAACAUGAUCAAUCAUCUUACUCACAGGAAAGUCUGAAGGAAAGAUGGGACGCUGGCGUCUUUUAAAAUCGAUAGGAUUCAAAGCAGCAGCUCGAACUUGGACAAUUAUUUGAUUAUGUUGGGGAGUAGGAAAAGGGAAGUCCCCCAGCUUGAGAACUUCCUUACUUCCAUACUCUUCAUAAAACCAAGCUUUC